Molecule: ribosomal RNA, 1355 nt
Filed under: uncultured bacterium
Lineage: Bacteria
Description: bacterial SSU rRNA
Rfam family: Bacterial small subunit ribosomal RNA
Source: RNAcentral
AUUGAACGCUGGCGGCAGGCUUAACACAUGCAAGUCGAACGAUGAUUAUCUAGCUUGCUAGAUAUGAUUAGUGGCGGACGGGUGAGUAACAUUUAGGAAUCUGCCUAGUAGUGGGGGAUAGCUCGGGGAAACUCGAAUUAAUACCGCAUACGACCUACGGGUGAAAGGGGGCGCAAGCUCUUGCUAUUAGAUGAGCCUAAAUCAGAUUAGCUAGUUGGUGGGGUAAAGGCCCACCAAGGCGACGAUCUGUAACUGGUCUGAGAGGAUGAUCAGUCACACCGGAACUGAGACACGGUCCGGACUCCUACGGGAGGCAGCAGUGGGGAAUAUUGGACAAUGGGGGCAACCCUGAUCCAGCCAUGCCGCGUGUGUGAAGAAGGCCUUUUGGUUGUAAAGCACUUUAAGCAGGGAGGAGAGGCUAAUGGUUAAUACCCAUUAGAUUAGACGUUACCUGCAGAAUAAGCACCGGCUAACUCUGUGCCAGCAGCCGCGGUAAUACAGAGGGUGCGAGCGUUAAUCGGAAUUACUGGGCGUAAAGCGAGUGUAGGUGGCUCAUUAAGUCACAUGUGAAAUCCCCGGGCUUAACCUGGGAACUGCAUGUGAUACUGGUGGUGCUAGAAUAUGUGAGAGGGAAGUAGAAUUCCAGGUGUAGCGGUGAAAUGCGUAGAGAUCUGGAGGAAUACCGAUGGCGAAGGCAGCUUCCUGGCAUAAUAUUGACACUGAGAUUCGAAAGCGUGGGUAGCAAACAGGAUUAGAUACCCUGGUAGUCCACGCCGUAAACGAUGUCUACUAGCCGUUGGGGUCCUUGAGACUUUAGUGGCGCAGUUAACGCGAUAAGUAGACCGCCUGGGGAGUACGGCCGCAAGGUUAAAACUCAAAUGAAUUGACGGGGGCCCGCACAAGCGGUGGAGCAUGUGGUUUAAUUCGAUGCAACGCGAAGAACCUUACCUGGUCUUGACAUAGUGAGAAUCCUGCAGAGAUGCGGGAGUGCCUUCGGGAAUUCACAUACAGGUGCUGCAUGGCUGUCGUCAGCUCGUGUCGUGAGAUGUUGGGUUAAGUCCCGCAACGAGCGCAACCCUUUUCCUUAUUUGCCAGCGGGUUAAGCCGGGAACUUUAAGGAUACUGCCAGUGACAAACUGGAGGAAGGCGGGGACGACGUCAAGUCAUCAUGGCCCUUACGACCAGGGCUGCACACGUGCUACAAUGGUAGGUACAGAGGGUUGCUACACAGCGAUGUGAUGCUAAUCUCAAAAAGCCUAUCGUAGUCCGGAUUGGAGUCUGCAACUCGACUCCAUGAAGUCGGAAUCGCUAGUAAUCGCAGAUCAGAAUGCUGCGGUGAAUACGUUCCCGGGCCU